Molecule: long non-coding RNA, 860 nt
Organism: Populus trichocarpa (black cottonwood)
Lineage: Eukaryota; Viridiplantae; Streptophyta; Magnoliopsida; Malpighiales; Salicaceae
Exons: 2
Source: RefSeq, a predicted model, not a curated record
CAACGUAUUUUUUUAAUUUAUUUUUAUAUAUAAACACUUAAAAAUAUAAAUGAAUUUAUUUUAAUCUUAAAAUUCUCUAUAAUUUAUUUAAAAAUUCAAAAUUAAACCAAAAAAAAAAAAAACCUUUUUCAACGAGAGCAGAGUUCCACCUCUAUGAAAAAUGUAGACUUGGUCGUGUAUUUUGCUUUGAUAGUCGUACAUAUAUUCGAUCUAAGAUGCUAACAGGGUCUUUUUUUGUAGGUACCGUGUGAAUUGAAUUCAAAUUACAUAGUUAAAUUAUUUUUUAUGAAUUUAAAUUUCAAAUUAAAUUCAAUUUCUAAAAAAAUACAUAAAAGCAAAUCGCGUGGAAACCUUCUAGUUUGCUAUGAUAUUCCAAAAAUAUCUUUAUGAACACAAACCCUAAUUUUUACAAAACCUCCCCAUUGUUUCUUUCCUUCUCUUCUUCUAAACCCCUGUCUCUUUGUGGAUGGAGGAUCCAGGUUCUACCACCAAAAGAUGGUUUCUACGAGAACUAUCCUUCUAACUAUCAAGGGUCGCAUCUCUUGGGCGUUGAAUUUGGUGAUUUCAGGCCUGAUGAAGAUCAGUUACCGGUCCUCGCAUUAGAAUUUAUUCCAGUGAUUCGUGAAUGAGAAGUUUCACCCACAUCUUGCAGCAAAUCGCAAAUCGAGUAGGGCAACGGGAGCUCUCUGUAACGAUUCGUCAGUUUCUAUAAACUUGUAUGCUUCUUAAUUUACAUCAAUAUACAUAAUGUUAAUUCCUUUCGUUAGCUAGAAGCUGGAAUUCACCUCGCUGAUUCAGGGCAUGACGAAGGUGCGAAUAUCUGUUAAUGUUAAUGCUGAUAUGGAUUCUCCUUCUAGUUA